This 72-nucleotide transfer RNA is filed under the name Exophiala spinifera. RNAcentral's name for it is "tRNA-His (GTG) (tRNA-His-GTG-1-1)". It matches the Rfam family "tRNA". Rfam says of the family: Transfer RNA (tRNA) molecules are approximately 80 nucleotides in length. Their secondary structure includes four short double-helical elements and three loops (D, anti-codon, and T loops). Further hydrogen bonds mediate the characteristic L-shaped molecular structure. tRNAs have two regions of fundamental functional importance: the anti-codon, which is responsible for specific mRNA codon recognition, and the 3' end, to which the tRNAs corresponding amino acid is attached (by aminoacyl-tRNA synthetases). tRNAs cope with the degeneracy of the genetic code in two manners: having more than one tRNA (with a specific anti-codon) for a particular amino acid; and 'wobble' base-pairing, i.e. permitting non-standard base-pairing at the 3rd anti-codon position. RNAcentral also lists the same sequence under 1 other name. Lineage: Eukaryota; Fungi; Ascomycota; Eurotiomycetes; Chaetothyriales; Herpotrichiellaceae. The record is from RNAcentral.
GCCGGUGUAGUGCAGUGGUGAGCACGUUUCGUUGUGGCCGAAGAGACCUUGGUUCGAACCCAAGCACCGGCA